Molecule: RNA transcript, 3031 nt
Organism: Panicum virgatum (switchgrass)
Lineage: Eukaryota; Viridiplantae; Streptophyta; Magnoliopsida; Poales; Poaceae
Exons: 4
Source: RefSeq, a predicted model, not a curated record
UGUUUCUCUCCCUUCCCUUCCAACCCUCUUCUCUCUCCUCCUCCCCCGAAACCCCCCAGGCCCCGCCCCGACCUUCGCCUCCGACCCCGGCGCGGAUUCCCGGGCGCACCCGCUGCCCGCACGGCCAUGGCGGCCGGGUUCUCUAUCAGACGGUGUGCGGAGCGACUGCGGGGGACGGCGGCGGCGGAGCUCGGCCCGCUCGACCUCGCCGCCAAGGACCUGCCGCCCAUGGAGGUCCGGGUGUUCAGGUGGUGGGAGGAGGAGCUCGCGGCCAUCAAGGCGGCGGCGGAGGAGGAGAAGGAGGAGCCGGUGGCGGAGGUCGACGAGGACGAGGAGGAGGUGCCGGGGAACGGGCGGACGCCGAAGAAGCGGUCCAUCACCGACCUCUUCGCGGCGGCGCCUGCCGUGGACGCCGUGGGCGGGGGCGGCCCUGGCGCCGCUGAGGAUGAUGGGGAGGUCCUCCGCGCCAUCUUCCGGCGGACCAAGGAGAUGCGGCGGAGGAGGCGCCUGGAGGAGGCGGCGGCGGACGAGCGGCGUGCGGCCGAGGGGAAUUUCGCCAGAAAGAAAUCACUUGACAAGAUAAAUUUGGGAGAUGGGCUGGAUACUCCUGGUGCAUCAGAGGAACAUGAGGAUAAACAUAAUCUCAGUACAGAGCUGGAAAAUAUCCCAGAUCUUAAGAAAAGGAAGCAUGGAAGACUCAAUAAUAGCUUACAGAAGAAGAAGGCUAACAGGCUGAAGUAUAUUGGCAGUACAAAGGCUAUUAAGGUGGGGAAACGAGACAUUAAAAAGCUCCCCUUGCACAGCAUUCUGAAGAAGUACACAAAGCAUACAUCCGUCAAAAUGGUUAAGGAAAAACAUGGCAAUUCAAAAGGCCCUGGAGUCAUAGAACUCUGCCGCAAAUCGGUUAAGCGUGUCAAAUUCUCGGAAGUGAAUGAUGCACUUGGCAGUAAGAAGCAAUGUUCCAAAAGACCUGAACUGGCAAAUAUCUGCAAGCUAAUCUCUGAUGCAAUGACUUCUUCAUCAUCAUCAUCCAUAGAAUUUUCCAGUGAAGAGGAACAUAUUAUUGCAGAAAGUAGUAGUUCUCGCAUGCCUGAGAAAGUCUUUGCUAUGGCUAAGGACGCAAAAGAUAACACAAAUCGUGAUAAUCAAUCUGAGAUCAGCAUUACUGGAUUGUCCACUGGUUUAUUUGAUCUGAAUAAAAGUUUGGAAGAUCCUGCUGACUUGAACAGCCCUUAUGUUUCAAAUUCAGAGGAGUCAUGUCUUCAGCGUACACAGGUUGGAACUCAGGUAUUGACAAUGGAAGAACAAGGUAUGGAUCAACAAGGUAUUGACAAUGGAAGAACAAACCAUAAAGACUCGUCUUUCAAUCCACAUGGACAAGAACAACAGCAUCAUGCUACUGACUUGGACAACAGAAUGAAGUCCCCUUGUACACUGCGAAACCAAACUUUUCAGGAUUCAGUUCAGCUGCAGAAUUGGUGCUCCAUGACUAUGCAUCAUGGUGUCUCUCAGCUCUCAACUGGAGGUGAAUCUUCUUCCUUCCAAUUUCGAGGAUGUAAUCUGUCACACAGUGAGAAACAAAUUAUUCAUUCAAAAAUGAACAUGCAACAUGAGUCUAGGCCUUCUUCAGGACAAACCUUGCGCUUGAUGGGUCAUGAUCUUACAAUAUCCAAUACCAGAGUUGACUAUUUGUCUGAGGCAGCACAGAAACAAACAAAUCCUGCUGAAGAUCAUCUUACCACCAAGUUGGUGUUGGAACUGCCACGACAAGGUCAGCCUUUCCUAUCAUUACAAACUCAGAGUAUUUCCAACGUUUCAGCAAAUUCUGCAAGCACAGUAGCUCAUAUUUCAGCGAGUUCUGGAAGCACAGCUCAGGCACAUUUUAGAUACAGAAACCCACAUAAUGUCACCAAUCCUUCGCCUACUGCCAAUGUGUUCUCUUGUGAUCCAUCAAGAUGUGAAGACAGGUGGAGGGGCUAUACAAACUUGCAAUCUCAUCAAAAUGUUUUGUUGGGAUGUCCGCCUGUCUCAAAUCAUGGCAGUGCUGCAUUUAUUCAGAACCAGCCACCUCCUCAGCAUUUUUACUCUGAUCAUUCCACUAAGACAGAUUCGCCCUCAGCGCCAUUUUCACCAAUAAAUAUGCAGCAUGUGACACCGUCUCCAGAUUACCAUGCCAAUUUGCCUGUGUCUUAUGGUUUGUACUCUGCAAGCUCAUCAGUUCACCCCCAUAACUCUGUGGGUUUUACAUGGAGCCACCCACACCAGAUAGUUCAAGGAGUUCUUGAUAGCAGAGCCUCUGCAGCCCUUCCAUCCAGAAAUGCAGGAACUGGAAUGGCAAGAGUUGAUCCUGACAAUUCUACUUCAUCUAGCAGCCGUUUUGUGCUGAGAUCAGGCCCGGUGAAGCUCAGCCCUGGGGCGAAGCAUAUCCUGAUACCAAGUGACAAUACAGAGGAUGACAAUUCUGCUCCAAUUUACUCUUGUGUGUCCUUUGGUAACUAUAAUGGAAAUGUCUCGGCGCCUCACCAGAAUAAAGGAGCAGGUUCUCGUAGGUUCUAGUCUAAAAGCAUCUGUUUUUGAGCAGCUGCUGAGCAAGAGGUUACUGGUUUUGAAGGAGUUGAAGCUGAUGGCAUGCCUAAUAGGCAAUCGACGAAGAUGGUGAUGUGAGAGGAUACAAUGUGCUGCGUGGAAGAUAUCCGAUCGCAUCUGGAGAGGCGGAGGGUACAUGGUUUUGGUUGGGGCCUGGAAGACUUUGACAAAUUCCUUUAGUUCUGCAGUUGUUUACACCUUUUUUUUAAAAAAAACUUUUUUAAAAAAGAAAGAUUUUCAAAAAUGACAGUGCGCUCAGGUGUGUGAAGCAUGUGAGCCUGUAGGGCAUACCUGGAGUGUUGUUUAUCUAGUUACCGGUAAGAAAGUAGAACCUUAAUGCGACUCAGAAGUUGGUUGGUUGUACAAUUGGUUGCACCAUCUAGAUCAGAUUUCAUAUGCAUGGUUUAAAGGUAAGACUUAAACUAGACUACAAGUGGUUUCCUUU